GUUGUAUCACCGUACCCUCCCUCACCGCUCAAACUCUAAUUCCUAUGUGUUUUUCUCUUUCUUCCUCUCCUCUGCUCUUCCUCUCCUUCACAUACGACCAUCCGUCAGCGCUCCAUCACCACCGCUAUUCUUCUCUCAAUCAUUUUCAGCAUAGCAGAACGACUUGGUCUGGAAUGAGCUUCUAUCAAUCAUUUUCUUCUCAAAUUUAGGGAAGAGAGAAUAACAGCUGCUGCAGGAUUUCAGUGAGAUCGAUGAAUUUAGGGAACUGGUUGAAGAUGAGUAAGAGAUGGUGGUUGGUUCGAAGGUCUGUUAGAUGGGUUUGAUGGACGAAGAAAUUGAAGCAGAGAAGUUAGGGUUUCAAGGAAUACAGAGAUGGGUUUGUGUUUAUGUUCAAGCUGAGGGGAAAUCAAGGGAUAAUCUCAACGUGAUAAAUUUUCCAAACCCCAAACAUAAAACAACUGCAACUACAACAAACAAUUAUUUAACCCCGAUCUGAAAUCAGACGGAAAAAGGAUACUCCUACAUUUUUUAAUUAGGGAAAAUCAAGUGGAGUCUUUCUUUAAAUUUGUGUUGUAAAUCAUCGAAAUUUGGUUAUUAAAUUUUGAUUUGGUUGUGUAAUCAUGUCGAGAAAGAUGCUAAUCGAUGGAGAAGUGAACAUCUCUAACGAACAUGAAUAUGACUAUGAUCUGUUUGUGAUUGGUGCUGGUAGUGGUGGUGUUCUUGCUUCUAGAACUUCAGCUGCUUAGGGAGCUAAGGUGAGUGAUUUCAACUCUAAGCUGUUGUGUGAAUUAAUAAGAUUGUUGGAUAAUUGGUUGCAGUCUGAAUUGUAUAGUAGUAUUUCUUCUUAUUCAAGCCGGAUGUUGUUGCUCUCUAUAUGCUUGUGAAAAUUUCAUUGAAAUUAUCUACAGGAUUUCUCUAUUUUUAGGAGUGAAUUGUACUCUGGAUAGUGGUGUUGCUUGUGUGAGAUUAUGUUUUGGUUUUCCUCACUCUGUUGUUGUUGUUUUUACGGAAAAUGAGAGAUCAGAGGGGAUAAAAUUGAGAGAUGGAAUCAAAAAUGGUUGUCAAAUUGAUUCUACAACAACAAUUAAAAGCUGGGUUUGGAUUGGAUUUGAGAGUAUUGUGAUAGAGACUCAAUGGUGCUAAUGGUGGUUGAUGUUGCAGCUUUGAAUGAAGAUUUCUGGUGGAUGAUUGCAGGUGGAAAUAGGAGCUUGUGUUGCUGUGUUGUUUUUGGUAGUAUUGACAAAGUCUGGUUUGAAUUAAGAGAUGUUGGAGUUGUGUUCUGUUCUUAAAGGAGUUGCUGCCAUGGUCACAAUUGCUAGGUGGUCAUUGAACUGAUGCUGCAACAGAUGGCUAGAUGGCUGCCGUUUUGGUGUUAAUAUAGUGAAAAGCUGAUUGAGGCUUAGCUGGAUUUUGGCAGUUAAGUUGCAGAUAGAGCUGGCAUAGCAGGUAGUUUUGGAGACUGUAAGUGGUGCUGCAGGCUAGAUAAGGAACUAAACUGAAUUAUGUCAGUCAUUAUGAUGGGAAGAAGUAGAGGGGGAUUGUCACAAAGAUCUAGUGGGCGAGUUGAUCCUUUGCAGAAUUUUGUGUCAGAGAGAAGUCCAAUUGCAAGACAGAAGCCACCAACAAAUGGUAAUGAAAUAUAUAUACGUCUGUUUGGGUCAAUAAGCAUAAAAACCCCAUGUUUGACGCAAAUUGAGCCAAGUAAAUAUGGAAAGAGUUGCGCUAGGGACCAUUAGACGCUUGAACUCGAUGAUGAGUUUGCUGGCAUUGAAAAAGCAUAUGAGGACAGCCAAUAAGAGUUACGGGGAAAGUUUGAGUAAACAUUUCAGGGUGAAGUGUAAGCGUAAUCUCCAAAUUUCUUUAAAAAAUCCUCCUGAAGGCUGAAAACUUGGAAAACUGGGCCAACAUGUGUAAUUACUUGAGAGCACCGGAAUUUCAUGGCAAGAUCGAAGAGGGCUUGUUUUUUUCAUAGGUAAGAUCGAAGAGGGCCUGUUUUUUUCAUAGGAAAGAUCGAAGAAGGAAAGUGAUGCAAAAAAGAUACAAGAUCUAAACCACAAAAUGGUACUGAGAGCUUUUCAAGAAAGACAUUUGACAGGAGUAAGAGGUCUAGUGGUAUAGCUAUUGGUCCUUUGACAAUGUUCGAUGAGACCCACACGGAUAAGAAUCAGAAGCUUCCUCCAAUAUGCGCAGAAUGAAAGGAAGAUAUGAAGGAUGAAACAGAGUAAGUCCAAAUUCAUCAAGUUAAUGAAUGUGGCUUUAAAGAAUUUAGGUCAAGCUUCUCUGCCAAAGGAUGCACUAGAUCCAAAUGUGAAACAUAGGAUGGAGGUCGACAACUUGAAGAUGAGAAUGAUGCUUAUAUCGAGGACGAGGAAAGCGAGAGAUAUGGCGAAAAAUAAAAUAUGGUGGAUGGUCAGUAUUGGGAAUGAUAGGGAAUUGGAUGAGAAUAUAAUGAAGCUAAAGAGGAUGGGGAAUGAAUGGAAGUCUGACAGUACUUGUCUGGAGUCUUUUGCACAAUAUUUCUUAAUUACUCACACAUGUAUAUUAUGGAUAUGACCCGUAUGUUAAAUCUUCUUUUUUCUAUAUAUAUAAUAGCUAGUUCUGACUUCUAAGUUUA
Papaver somniferum (opium poppy) is the source of this 2614-nucleotide long non-coding RNA. RefSeq lists it as uncharacterized. The transcript is spliced from 6 exons. The record is from RefSeq and is a predicted model, not a curated record. NCBI's taxonomy places the organism in Eukaryota, Viridiplantae, Streptophyta, Magnoliopsida, Ranunculales, Papaveraceae.